This 861-nucleotide ribosomal RNA is filed under the name uncultured organism. RNAcentral describes it as "bacterial SSU rRNA". It matches the Rfam family "Bacterial small subunit ribosomal RNA", at positions 8 to 863 of the family's 1533-position model. The record is from RNAcentral.
AGAGUUUGAUCCUGGCUCAGAUUGAACGCUGGCGGCAGGCUUAACACAUGCAAGUCGAGCGGAGAUGAGGUGCUUGCACCUUAUCUUAGCGGCGGACGGGUGAGUAAUGCUUAGGAAUCUGCCUAUUAGUGGGGGACAACAUUCCGAAAGGAAUGCUAAUACCGCAUACGUCCUACGGGAGAAAGCAGGGGAUCUUCGGACCUUGCGCUAAUAGAUGAGCCUAAGUCGGAUUAGCUAGUUGGUGGGGUAAAGGCCUACCAAGGCGACGAUCUGUAGCGGGUCUGAGAGGAUGAUCCGCCACACUGGGACUGAGACACGGCCCAGACUCCUACGGGAGGCAGCAGUGGGGAAUAUUGGACAAUGGGGGGAACCCUGAUCCAGCCAUGCCGCGUGUGUGAAGAAGGCCUUAUGGUUGUAAAGCACUUUAAGCGAGGAGGAGGCUACUGAGACUAAUACUCUUGGAUAGUGGACGUUACUCGCAGAAUAAGCACCGGCUAACUCUGUGCCAGCAGCCGCGGUAAUACAGAGGGUGCGAGCGUUAAUCGGAUUUACUGGGCGUAAAGCGUGCGUAGGCGGCUUUUUAAGUCGGAUGUGAAAUCCCCGAGCUUAACUUGGGAAUUGCAUUCGAUACUGGGAAGCUAGAGUAUGGGAGAGGAUGGUAGAAUUCCAGGUGUAGCGGUGAAAUGCGUAGAGAUCUGGAGGAAUACCGAUGGCGAAGGCAGCCAUCUGGCCUAAUACUGACGCUGAGGUACGAAAGCAUGGGGAGCAAACAGGAUUAGAUACCCUGGUAGUCCAUGCCGUAAACGAUGUCUACUAGCCGUUGGGGCCUUUGAGGCUUUAGUGGCGCAGCUAACGCGAUAA